GCGUCGACGCGCUGGCUGAGAAGUGAGAAGCUACGGUAUCGUUGACAGUUCGUUCGUGUGUCUAGGUUUAAGUUGGUGAACUUUCUCUGGUGGCAUUUCCCAUGUCCUUUCUCCAGUCCCCGGACGUCCAUCUCAUCCACUUUGACAGGAACAACCUCAGACAUGUCGAGCGUGAUAUUGAAAGGUGUAGAUUGCCUGAACACUGUAGGACACUUGCUAUGUUCAUGAUCAUGAACAUAUUGUAUCAUAUUUUAAACUAUUUGUAUCAUAUUUUAAACCUGAACUCAAACUUAAACUAUUCUCAUUUGCCCUCAUUGUAAAGGUUGCUGGACUCUGUGCAUUGGAAACUGACAAUAAAAAUGAAAAACUUAA
Molecule: long non-coding RNA, 372 nt
Organism: Sardina pilchardus (European sardine)
Lineage: Eukaryota; Metazoa; Chordata; Actinopteri; Clupeiformes; Clupeidae
Exons: 2
Source: RefSeq, a predicted model, not a curated record